Molecule: unclassified non-coding RNA, 4049 nt
Filed under: Hevea brasiliensis (rubber tree)
Lineage: Eukaryota; Viridiplantae; Streptophyta; Magnoliopsida; Malpighiales; Euphorbiaceae
Source: RNAcentral
GUGAGAACCAAAUUGCUAGAAAGUACUUUAUAAUUUGCAUAAUAAGGUUAAGGUUGUUCUGGCACACCAUAAAUACCAAGUCUAUGGAAGGUUUUCAAAAGGACCAACCUAUAUGGUACUAAUCGCUCCUAAUUUCAUAAAUUAGUCAGUCACACAUCACAAAAUCCAUGUCAAAAAGCAAAACCCCCCAUGCAGCCCAAAUUAAUUAGGGAUUCUCCCCCAUAUUGUUAGGGUUAAGUAAAUUAAAGCGUGUUCCCAAAUUUAACUUCUCAGAACCGAACAAACCACUAAGCAUCAGAAGAGUUUUCGUGUUGAGCUUGGUGCUUAGGUGUUGGGUGCUGCUGUCCUUUGUCAAUUAAAAACAUAGUACAGUCGACACGCUUUGUUGGAGCUGAACAAGGUUUUGUGGGAGGUGCUGGAAGAAGGGAAUCCAAAACCCUCAAAACUUCAUGCAUGGUUGGUCUUUCAGAAGGAUACCGCUUUGUGCACAACAGAGCAAGCUGGAAUGUCUUCGUCACAUGAGUUAAAUCCAUGCAUGUAACAGAAACUUCUUGAUCAACAACCUCCAUUACUGUAUUGUUGUCAGCUUUGGAUAGUAUCAGCUGAUGCAAAUUAUACUCAUUAUCCACAGCUUUCUUCCCAGUUAGAAGCUCCAAAAGAACAAUGCCAAAGCUGUAAACAUCUGAUUUUUCAUUUAGCCGAGAUGUGUGGGCAUAUUCUGGGUCAAUAUAGCCAAUUGUUCCUAAAACAUAGGUUGAAGCAUGAGUUUUUGCAGUUGGAAUGCUUUUUGCAAUUCCAAAAUCAGAUAGAUGAGCCUCAAAAUUUUCAUCCAGCAGGAUAUUUGAAGACUUCACGUCCCUGUGGAUAAUUCGUGGAUUACAAUCAUGGUGAAGAUAGGCAAGUCCUUGUGCAACUCCAACCGCUAUCUUCAAGCGUGUUUCCCAAUCCAGCUUUACCUUUUCAGAUGGUCCAUGAAGGAGAUCCCAUAAAGAACCAUUCUCCAUGUAGUCAUAGAAAAGAAGGUUUCCAUAUGGAGAGUGAGCAUAACCAUGCAAACUGACAAUGUUUCUAUGUCUUAUGCUGCCAAUGGUCUCAAGUUCAGUUUCAAAUUCUCGCAUGUUAUACUGAUUGUAGAGUCUCUUAAUUGCAAUUGAUCGGGAAUUUUUCAGUACACAUUUGUAUACUGUGCUUGAUGCACCAUAGCCAAUAAUGUACUUCUCACUUAAAUGCUCAGUGUUUCUCAUUAUAUCAUCAAAGGUGUGAAUAGCCAUGUCCAUGUGAAGAACCACAAUUUUGGGUGGACCUUGUAUAUUUUUGUGAGAUUUCUUCAUCAAUUGCUUCUGCUGGUUAGAUUUGUAGAUUGCAACUGUAACCAUGGACAAUAAGAUGAUGAAGCCCAAUGUCAUGCAGACGACCACAGCUCUGGAAAAAAUUGCUGGACAGAAAAAAACAAUAGUUUGAAAAAUUAUGACAAAAAAAUUCCUAACCCUUACUCCACACCAGACAACUAUCACAGCAAGAAAAAUACACGAACUCAACCAGCACUCAACAAGUCAAUUAAUGGUCAAGUUGUCACCUCUAGACUUGGGUUCAUAAGGGUCACAAAUAGAUCCCAACCAGUUGCCACACAACAAUGGAUUUCCAAUGAAGCUGGCACAGCAAAACGUUAUAAUAUCACCAGGAGAUUCAGAAUAAGAAUUAAUUCUGAAGAAUAGGCAUUACUACCUUAGCGGUGGAAAUCGUGAGAAGUUUCUGAUGGGAGGUACAACCCCUGAUAAGUUGUUGUACGAGAAAUUCCUGACACAUGAAAACUCAUUGUUGGGAAUACUCCACACACUUUUUGAGAGAAAACAUGUAAAACAUGCAGCUAGAGAACUAAAGAAAAAGGCAGCUAUUUAAAGAACAUACAGAUUUGUAAGACUGAAACAAUUGGCAAGUUGAUCAGGGAUCACUCCCUGCAAGUUGUUAUUGUUCAGGAUCCUGCCAUGCACUUUUGUCAAUGCAAAGGUACUCAGCAUUGUAAAUAAGGGAUCAAACCAAGGGCAUACGGACAUCAAACUUACAGAGAAAAGAUGUUUUGCAACUGACCCAAUUCUGCAGGAAUGGAGCCAGUGACAUUGUUGAAUGACAUAUCACUGGAAAUACGAGUAAACAUCGUCAAGAAAGAAGAAGAAGACGAAAGGAAAAGAAAGGGAGAAGGGGGGAGAAAGGGGGAAGGGGGAGGUGUGGAUAGUAGGAUGUGGCUUAUCCCAUCACAUACAAAGUUUUGGUACUAAGCUUACAUAAUCUGUAUACUUCUAAGAUUCCCAAAUUCAGCAGGCAAUGGCCCAUCAAUAUGAUUCCUGCUUAAAUUCAAGGUAAGAAGGUGCUCUAGGUCACCAACAGAAGCUGGAACAGGUCCAGAGAAGCUAUUGCCAGAUAGAUCCAAUGUGUCAAGGUUGAUAAUAUGGCCAAGCUCCACUGGAAUCCUGCCUUUGAAAUUGUUUGAUGAAAUAUUUAGGUAAGUCAAACUCUCUAGAUUCCUGAAACCCCAAGGCAUACUUCCGUUUAAGCGAUUACCAUGCACAUUGAAUUGGUUCAGAGCAGAACAGAAGCUGAUGUUAUGUGGAAUGGGCCCUUCAAGGUCAUUGUUAGCAAGAUUCAAUUCAAACAACUGCUCCAGCUUCCCAAGUUCAGGAGGAAUGCUGCCAACAAGCUGGUUGUCAUUCAAUUGCAAGUAGCUGAGUUUUGACAUAUUGCCAAGUUCUGGCGGGAUUGAUCCAGUAAGCUUGUUACCAUAGAGGUACAGUUUCCCAGUGUAUGAUAGAUUGCCCAGUAUUGGUGGGAUUGGCCCAACUAGCUCAUUCUCACUCAAGUCCAAAACAGCAAGGGCCUGCAUUAAACCAAUCACUUCAGGAAUCUUCCCCGUUAGCUUAUUUCCUUGAAGUGACAGAGUAGCUACUUGCAAGAAGCCUAUAUUAUAUGGUAUCUCCCCUGUGAUCUGAUUGUACGAUAGGUCCAAUAUCUCAAAGCUUGUACAGUUGCCAAUGCUAUCAGGGAUUGUGCCAGUGAGAUUAUUGCCUCUCACAUCACUGGAAAAAAAAAUACCAGGAAAAUUUAACUGGCAAGCAGGGAGAACAUAACAAAGGAAUACAAAAUUGAAGCAGCUUCUUUUCCCUUUCUUCCGAUGGCACUUGCUCAAACCAGUUAAGCUACUUACAAAUACCACAAACCAGUCAACUGACACAUGUCCGAUGACAAUGUUCCGGUCAAUGAAUUCCCUCGAAGCCCAAGGUACUGUAAUACUUCAUUCCAGUAGAGUAAUCUCGGUAUCUCACCAAUGAGCUGAUUCCGAGCAAGGUCGAGAGUUUUCAGGUUAGGUAUCUGGGUUAAGGUUGCCGGGAUAGGACCAGUAAGCUUGUUGUUCUUCAAAUUCAAGAAUUCCAGCAGCUUGAGCUUAGAUAUGGAAAAGGGUAUGUCUCCAUACAGAAAAUUGUCAGACAAAUCCAGAUGAAAUAGAGAUGCACAGUUGCCAAUCUCAUCUGGGAUUUGACCCGUCAACUUGUUUCCCUGAAGGUCUAUUGAUUGCAACUUCCUCAAGUCUCCAAUGGCAGGAGAUAUUUCCCCACCCAGGUUCAAAUUUGACAAAUUAAGAGAAACAACAGAGGAGCGGGCAUUGUCACAGAAAACACCACGCCAAGAACAGAAAUCCCGGUGGUGCACAUCGUCCCAGUCGAGAAGCACGUUAACUUCAUUGCUAAAUGAUGCCUUCAACGACAUCAAGGCUUUCCCUUCAUCAUUGAGCGGCGAAGCUUGAGGAAAGAGCAGCAAAAACACCACAAUUAUCAAACAGUUACAAGUCACUGGCAUCUUUUUCUUCGUUCCCCUCCCUGCUUCUUCCAUUAUAACAAAUCCAGAACCAAAUCACACACUACAAGAAACGUGACUGAGCGAGUCAACGAAUCAGAAGCAAACGGAGACCAAUGGUUGAGAAGCAUGAGAUGAGCUCGGCUCCACCUCCAUUUUUUGAUUGGGAGAGAGCACAGACGCUUGGCGUGAACUGUAAGGAA